GGCUGAGUGGUCUAGUGGUAUGAUUCUUCCUUUGGGCUCCCAGGUGGAAUCUCAAAUUGCAAGAGGCCCCGGGUUCAAACCCCGGCUCAGCCC
Molecule: non-coding RNA, 93 nt
Organism: Xylariaceae sp. FL0662B
Lineage: Eukaryota; Fungi; Ascomycota; Sordariomycetes; Xylariales; Xylariaceae
Source: the annotation of a GenBank genome assembly